RNAcentral lists this ribosomal RNA (473 nucleotides) under uncultured bacterium. RNAcentral describes it as "partial 16S ribosomal RNA". It matches the Rfam family "Bacterial small subunit ribosomal RNA", at positions 28 to 507 of the family's 1533-position model. The record is from RNAcentral.
GAUGAACGCUCGCGGCAGGCCUAAUACAUGCAAGUCGAACGGGUGGUCGCAAGACCACUAGUGGCGCACGGGUGCGUAACGCGUAACCAACCUGCCCCGAUCUGGGGGAUAGCCCGCCGAAAGGCGGAUUAAUACCGCAUAUACCCGCAGCCUGGCAUCAGGCAACGGGGAAAGAUUUAUUGGAUCGGGAUGGGGUUGCGUGACAUUAGCUAGUGGGCGGGGUAAGGGCCCACCAAGGCGACGAUGUCUAGGGGACCUGAGAGGGUGAACCCCCACACUGGCACUGGGACACGGGCCAGACUCCUACGGGAGGCAGCAGUAGGGAAUAUUGGGCAAUGGGCGAGAGCCUGACCCAGCCAUGCCGCGUGCCGGAUGAAGGGCUUCUGGGUUGUAAACGGCUUGUCUCAGGGAAGAAAAAGACCUUGCGAGGUACACUGACGGUACCUGAGGAAUAAGCACCGGCUAACUCCGUG